GGUGCUGUGGCUCAGAGGGUAGAGCAUUAGCCUUGAGCACUAAAGCUAAUGGACAGCGCCC
RNAcentral lists this transfer RNA (61 nucleotides) under Dipodomys ordii (Ord's kangaroo rat). Lineage: Eukaryota; Metazoa; Chordata; Mammalia; Rodentia; Heteromyidae. The record is from Rfam by way of RNAcentral.